AUUGAACGCUGGCGGCAGGCCUAACACAUGCAAGUCGAGCGGAUGAAGGGAGCUUGCUCCUGGAUUCAGCGGCGGACGGGUGAGUAAUGCCUAGGAAUCUGCCUGGUAGUGGGGGAUAACGUCCGGAAACGGGCGCUAAUACCGCAUACGUCCUGAGGGAGAAAGUGGGGGAUCUUCGGACCUCACGCUAUCAUAUGAGCCUAGGUCGGAUUAGCUAGUUGGUGGGGUAAAGGCCUACCAAGGCGACGAUCCGUAACUGGUCUGAGAGGAUGAUCAGUCACACUGGAACUGAGACACGGUCCAGACUCCUACGGGAGGCAGCAGUGGGGAAUAUUGGACAAUGGGCGAAAGCCUGAUCCAGCCAUGCCGCGUGUGUGAAGAAGGUCUUCGGAUUGUAAAGCACUUUAGGUUGGGAGGAAGGGCAGUAAGUUAAUACCUUGCUGUUUUGACGUUACCAACAGAAUAAGCACCGGCUAACUUCGUG
RNAcentral lists this ribosomal RNA (484 nucleotides) under uncultured bacterium. RNAcentral describes it as "partial 16S ribosomal RNA". It matches the Rfam family "Bacterial small subunit ribosomal RNA", at positions 30 to 507 of the family's 1533-position model. The record is from RNAcentral.